CGGCGGACGGGUGAGUAACACGUGGGUAACCUACCUAUAAGACUGGGACAACUUCGGGAAACCGGAGCUAAUACCGGAUAGUAUGUUGAACCGCAUGGUUCAAUAGUGAAAGAUGGUUUUGCUAUCACUUAUAGAUGGACCCGCGCCGUAUUAGCUAGUUGGUGAGGUAACGGCUCACCAAGGCAACGAUACGUAGCCGACCUGAGAGGGUGAUCGGCCACACUGGAACUGAGACACGGUCCAG
This 244-nucleotide ribosomal RNA is filed under the name uncultured Staphylococcus sp. RNAcentral describes it as "partial 16S ribosomal RNA". It matches the Rfam family "Bacterial small subunit ribosomal RNA", at positions 96 to 334 of the family's 1533-position model. The record is from RNAcentral. Lineage: Bacteria; Bacillati; Bacillota; Bacilli; Caryophanales; Staphylococcaceae.